GUGGGGAAUAUUGGACAAUGGGCGAAAGCCUGAUCCAGCCAUGCCGCGUGUGUGAAGAAGGUCUUCGGAUUGUAAAGCACUUUAAGUUGGGAGGAAGGGCAGUAAGUUAAUACCUUGCUGUUUUGACGUUACCAACAGAAUAAGCACCGGCUAACUUCGUGCCAGCAGCCGCGGUAAUACGAAGGGUGCAAGCGUUAAUCGGAAUUACUGGGCGUAAAGCGCGCGUAGGUGGUUCAGCAAGUUGAAGGUGAAAUCCCCGGGCUCAACCUGGGAACUGCCUCCAAAACUGCAUGACUAGAGUACGGUAGAGGGUAGUGGAAUUUCCUGUGUAGCGGUGAAAUGCGUAGAUAUAGGAAGGAACACCAGUGGCGAAGGCGACUACCUGGACUGAUACUGACACUGAGGUGCGAAAGCGUGGGGAGCAAACAGGAUUAGAAACCCUGGUAGUCC
RNAcentral lists this ribosomal RNA (450 nucleotides) under uncultured bacterium. RNAcentral describes it as "bacterial SSU rRNA". It matches the Rfam family "Bacterial small subunit ribosomal RNA", at positions 354 to 796 of the family's 1533-position model. The record is from RNAcentral.